This 498-nucleotide ribosomal RNA is filed under the name uncultured bacterium. Its description in RNAcentral is "partial 16S ribosomal RNA". It matches the Rfam family "Bacterial small subunit ribosomal RNA", at positions 28 to 523 of the family's 1533-position model. The record is from RNAcentral.
GAUGAACGCUAGCGGCAGGCCUAAUACAUGCAAGUCGAGGGAGAAUGUUGGAUUCGUCUGACAUGAAACCGGCGCACGGGUGCGUAACACGUAUGCAACCUACCUUUAACUGGGGUAUAGCUCAGAGAAAUCUGAAUUAAUCCCCCAUAAGACUACGACAUGGCAUCAUGAUGUAGUUAAAGCUCCGGCGGUUAAGGAUGGGCAUGCGGUACAUUAGCUAGUUGGUGAGGUAAUGGCUCACCAAGGCUACGAUGUAUAGGGGGUCUGAGAGGAUGAUCCCACAAACUAGGACUGAGACACGGACCAGACUCCUACGAGGGGCAGCAGUAGGGAAUAUUGGUCAAUGGACGCAAGUCUGAACCAGCCAGGCCGCGUGAAGGAUGAAGGCCCUAUGGGUCGUAAACUUCUUUUAUUAGGGAAGAAAAAACGGGAUGCGUCCUGUACUGACGGUACUUAAUGAAUAAGGAUCGGCUAACUUCGUGCCAGCCGCCGCCGUAA